RNAcentral lists this long non-coding RNA (1333 nucleotides) under Sparus aurata (gilthead seabream). RNAcentral's name for it is "lncRNA (ENSSAUG00010001676.1)". The record is from RNAcentral. Lineage: Eukaryota; Metazoa; Chordata; Actinopteri; Spariformes; Sparidae.
UAUAUAUGUUUUGAACAUUACAAGUGCUAAUUUUUAAUGUAAUAUAAAAAAAAAAGGCACCUGAUGACAUAAUCUAUUCAAGUCACAAUGUUCUACCGAAAAAAUCAAGAUCCUAAGCUUUCGCUCCAUACGGAAAUCUAAGUUGACCAGGCAGUUAUUCAUCUUUUCUAAAGCCUUAAAAUAUUGGCAUCUGGUCUGGAGGCUGUACACCCAGAGUUUUUAAAAGCUUAGCUCAAAGGUCUGCUAUGAAUGAAUAGUGCUAAUAGAGGGCUGUUCAAUUGAUAGUAUUAAAACUUGAAAUAAUCUCAAUUACUAUUAUCCUUUUUAUAUUGUUAUUUCAGCUGGAAUCAAGAGACCUGUCACCCAGGAGGACAAGGAAUGGGCACUGGCAUCCUUGUCACAACUUGGGCGUUUUACUGGGAUGGGGUGGAUUUUGAGUCCAGAAACGCCUCAGGUACGAUUUAUGUCUUUUGUAUGUUACCAGAAACAUCAAAAGUUACUGCCCUGCAUGUUUUUUGUGUCUCCCCACUUUCUCCAGGAGCUAAGUGGUAUGUUUUUUUCAAGGCAUGUGAUUGGGGAAUCCUCCAUGAGCAAAGGGCAAAUCAGCAAUAUACAGAACGCACUGGUGUCAUUAUCCAGGAGAGGGGAGUGUUCCUGUCUGACAGUGGCCUACUCGGUGGAUCUCCAGAUGGGACAGUAUCUGAUGACUGCAUCAUUGAGAAAAUCCUCUCGGUCCCUGCCUCCAGCAGCUGGAAGCGCCUCGCCUGCGACCUCGCUCGAGGGUCGGAGGGCGAUGUGCCGCAGAAACACCGUUGGAGCUGCAGAGGCGGGUAGCUGAUGUCUGACACACCGCUCUUUUGGAGACUGUCAACUCCCAGUGAGCCCGUCUCACCCUGGCCGCUGCACCGUGCACCCGCAGGUGACACUCUCCUCCGGGGAGAUGGGGGUUCAGUGUCAAUGUUUAACCCCUCGCGUCUAGCUGCAGGGCGGAGGGACCGCGGUUAUGUCUAAGUUUAUGUCAGACAACAAUGAACCAUGCAGUCAGAGAAACAAUGGCACUUUCUCAGCUUAACUAUGGUUGCACUAUUUAGGGUUCUAAUCCCGAAGGGGUAGAACCGGGUGACAGAGCUCCUCACCCUAUCUCUAAGGGAGCGCCCCGCCAAUUGCGGAGGAAACUCAUUUCGGCCGCUUGUAUCCGGGGUCUUAUUCUUUCGGUCAUGACCCAAAGUUCAUGACCAUAGGUGAGGGUAGGAACGUAGAUUGACCGGUAAAUCGAGAGCUUCGCCUUUUGGCAAAGCGUGUGAAAAACAGUAAAAUGAAUAGAACUUUUGAA